UGAUUGUCCAUUCGCAGUUCUUG
RNAcentral lists this microRNA (23 nucleotides) under Eisenia fetida (common brandling worm). RNAcentral describes it as "Efe-Mir-219-P9_5p (mature (co-guide))". The record is from RNAcentral. Lineage: Eukaryota; Metazoa; Annelida; Clitellata; Crassiclitellata; Lumbricidae.